GCAUCUAAGCACGAAGCCCCCCUCAAGAUAAGAUCUCCACACAAGGGUCGUCAGAGACGAUGACGUCGAUAGGACGCAGGUGCAGAGGCGGCAACGUCUACAGCCGAGCGUUACUAAUCACCCGAACCCUUUCCGGG
Molecule: ribosomal RNA, 137 nt
Filed under: Muribaculaceae bacterium
Lineage: Bacteria; Pseudomonadati; Bacteroidota; Bacteroidia; Bacteroidales; Muribaculaceae
Description: partial 23S ribosomal RNA
Rfam family: Bacterial large subunit ribosomal RNA
Source: RNAcentral